This 607-nucleotide ribosomal RNA is filed under the name uncultured bacterium. RNAcentral describes it as "bacterial SSU rRNA". It matches the Rfam family "Bacterial small subunit ribosomal RNA", at positions 338 to 941 of the family's 1533-position model. The record is from RNAcentral.
CCUACGGGAGGGCAGCAGUGGGGAAGUAAUUGGACAAUGGGCGGAAAGCCUGAUCCAGCAAUUCCGCGUGUGUGAAGAAGGCCUUCGGGUUGUAAAGCACUUUAGUGGGGGAAGAAACAGCUUGGCCACACCAAGCCUUGACGGUACCCCAAGAAUAAGCACCGGCUAACUCUGUGCCAGCAGCCGCGGUAAUACAGAGGGUGCAAGCGUUAAUCGGAUUUACUGGGCGUAAAGGGUGCGUAGGUGGCUAUUUAAGUCGGAUGUGAAAGCCCGGGGCUCAACCUCGGAAUUGCAUUCGAUACUGAGUGGCUAGAGUUCGGUAGAGGGCGGCGGAAUUUCCGGUGUAGCGGUGAAAUGCGUAGAUAUCGGAAGGAACAUCAAUGGCGAAGGCAGCCGCCUGGGCCUGGACUGACACUGAGGCACGAAAGCGUGGGUAGCAAACAGGAUUAGAUACCCCGGUAGUCCACGCCGUAAACGAUGAGAACUUGACGUUGGUCGUUUUACGAUCGGUGUCGCAGCUAACGCGAUAAGUUCUCCGCCUGGGGAGUACGGCCGCAAGGUUGAAACUUAAAGGAAUUGAGGCUGNGAGNGCGAGCGACACGAGGAG